CUUAAGCAUAUCAAUAAGCGGAGGAAAAGAAACCAACAGGGAUUGCCCCAGUAACGGCGAGUGAAGCGGCAACAGCUCAAAUUUGAAAUCUGGCCCCAGGCCCGAGUUGUAAUUUGCAGAGGAUGCUUUUGGCGCGGUGCCUUCCGAGUUCCCUGGAACGGGACGCCAUAGAGGGUGAGAGCCCCGUACGGUUGGACACCAAGCCUUUGUAAAGCUCCUUCGACGAGUCGAGUAGUUUGGGAAUGCUGCUCUAAAUGGGAGGUACAUUUCUUCUAAAGCUAAAUAUUGGCCAGAGACCGAUAGCGCACAAGUAGAGUGAUCGAAAGAUGAAAAGCACUUUGAAAAGAGGGUUAAACAGCACGUGAAAUUGUUAAAAGGGAAGCGCUUGUGACCAGACUUGCGUCCGGUGAAUCACCCAGCUCUCGCGGCUGGGGCACUUCGCCGGCACAGGCCAGCAUCAGCUUGCCGUCGGGGACAAAAGCUUCAGGAACGUAGCUCCUCUCGGGGAGUGUUAUAGCCUGUUGUAUAAUACCCUUCGGCGGGCUGAGGUACGCGCUCCGCAAGGAUGCUGGCGUAAUGGUCAUCAGCGACCCGUCUUGAAACACGGACCAAGGAGUCAACCUUAUGUGCGAGUGUUUGGGUGUUAAACCCCUACGCGUAAUGAAAGUGAACGCAGGUGAGAGCUUCGGCGCAUCAUCGACCGAUCCUGAUGUUCUCGGAUGGAUUUGAGUAAGAGCAUAUAGGGUUGGACCCGAAAGAAGGUGAACUAUGCGUGUGUAGGGUGAAGCCAGAGGAAACUCUGGUGGAGGCUCGCAGCGGUUCUGACGUGCAAAUC
RNAcentral lists this ribosomal RNA (835 nucleotides) under Colletotrichum fioriniae. RNAcentral's name for it is "LSU rRNA". It matches the Rfam family "Eukaryotic large subunit ribosomal RNA", at positions 33 to 899 of the family's 3401-position model. Lineage: Eukaryota; Fungi; Ascomycota; Sordariomycetes; Glomerellales; Glomerellaceae. The record is from RNAcentral.